CCUACGUGAGGCAGCAGUGGGGGAUAUUGCACAAUGGGGGGAACCCUGAUGCAGCGACGCCGCGUGGGUGAAGAAGCGCCUCGGCGCGUAAAGUUCUGUCAGCAGGGAAGAAAAUGACGGUACCUGAAGAAGAAGCCCCGGCUAACUACGUGCCAGCAGCCGCGGGAAUACGUAGGGGGCAAGCGUUAUACGGAUUUACUGGGUGUAACGGGGUCGCAGACGGCGAUGCAAGUCAGGAGGGAAAGCCCGGGGCCCAACCCCGGGACUGCUUUUGUAACUGGGUGGCGGGAGUGCAUGAGGGGCAGGCGGAAUUCCUGGUGUAGCGGUGAAAGGCGUAGAUAUCAGGAGGAACACCGGUGGCGAAGGCGGCCUGCUGGACUGCAACUGACGUUGAGGCCCGAAAGCGUGGGGAGCAAACAGGAUUAGAUACCCUGGUAGUC
RNAcentral lists this ribosomal RNA (440 nucleotides) under uncultured bacterium. RNAcentral describes it as "partial 16S ribosomal RNA". It matches the Rfam family "Bacterial small subunit ribosomal RNA", at positions 338 to 795 of the family's 1533-position model. The record is from RNAcentral.